UGUUACCAACCGGGAUAAAAGGGGGGUCUUUUAUCCCGGUUGGUGUUUCAAACCGGGAUAAAAGGUCUCUCAGAGUCUUUUUUUCCCACUAGCCUUUGCAACCGGGAUAAAAGGUCCCGGUUGGUGAGCCCCCCACCAGUGACCGAGUUUUAGUCCCGGUUGGUGAACCUUUUAUCUCGGGCCAACUUUAAACCGGGACAAAAGG
Molecule: long non-coding RNA, 205 nt
Filed under: Setaria italica (foxtail millet)
Lineage: Eukaryota; Viridiplantae; Streptophyta; Magnoliopsida; Poales; Poaceae
Description: long non-coding RNA (SITA_LNC005796)
Source: RNAcentral